GAUUUGGAGUUUUUUUUUUUUUUAAGUGUUGUUAUCCUUAUUGUUUUAGCUUUGUUUUGGUUGUAAUUUGAGAACAGUAGAUCUUAGGGGAAGCCAUGAAAUAACACAUGUAUUUGUUAUGUAUUCUUUUCAUUUAUUAGUUUUACUUUGAUUAUGAGCUUGGGUGCUGGUUUUGUAGAAUUUUCUUUUAGUUUUGUGAUUAUCUUGUAAUCAGAAGAAAGGAGUGUAAUGGAAAAUUAUUUCAA
Girardinichthys multiradiatus is the source of this 245-nucleotide long non-coding RNA. RefSeq lists it as uncharacterized. The record is from RefSeq and is a predicted model, not a curated record. Lineage: Eukaryota; Metazoa; Chordata; Actinopteri; Cyprinodontiformes; Goodeidae. The transcript has 3 exons.